GCUUUUGUGGUGUAACGGUAGCACACUCGGCGCGUAAUCGAGAAGUCCAAGUUCGAGUCUCGUUGAGGGCA
RNAcentral lists this transfer RNA (71 nucleotides) under Stegodyphus mimosarum. It matches the Rfam family "tRNA". From Rfam's summary of the family: Transfer RNA (tRNA) molecules are approximately 80 nucleotides in length. Their secondary structure includes four short double-helical elements and three loops (D, anti-codon, and T loops). Lineage: Eukaryota; Metazoa; Arthropoda; Arachnida; Araneae; Eresidae. The record is from Rfam by way of RNAcentral.